UAUAGCUCGAAAGACAAAUGGUUCCAGAAGAUCAAUGAGAAGUCAAGAUAUGAACGAUCCAUCAAUUCACAGUAGGUACGAAAUGAAUGAUUUAGUGGAUAAAUACAAUAAUCCUAAAUGAUCCAAGAGUCGGGAAAAGAACGAUUUAUGUUCAUUGAACCACUGUAGAAACAAAUCAAAUGAUUUACUGAAUCAUAAUAGAAGAAGUG
Molecule: long non-coding RNA, 209 nt
Filed under: Erythranthe guttata (spotted monkey flower)
Lineage: Eukaryota; Viridiplantae; Streptophyta; Magnoliopsida; Lamiales; Phrymaceae
Description: long non-coding RNA (EGUT_LNC000358)
Source: RNAcentral